Long non-coding RNA from Schistocerca gregaria, 1317 nucleotides. RefSeq lists it as uncharacterized. The transcript has 2 exons. The record is from RefSeq and is a predicted model, not a curated record. Lineage: Eukaryota; Metazoa; Arthropoda; Insecta; Orthoptera; Acrididae.
AUUUUAUUAUAUUUAUUUUUUGUUUAUUUAAUUAUUUAAUAUAAAUAAUUUUAUUGUAUUUUUGUCUUAGUAUAUUUUAUAGAAUUGAUUUUUUAAAUUAUAGUUUAUUGGUAAUGUAAGUGUUUUAUGAAAUAUUAUUUUAAAUUUUUUUAAGUAGAUUUUAUUUAUUGUACCUUUUGUAUCAGGGUUUAUCAAAAUUUUAGUAUUUAUUUUACUUGUCUCGAUUUGGGUUGAUUUAUAAAUAAUUUAUAGUUAAUGUAUCAUAAUUAUUAUUAAAUUAUUUAUAGAAAUGAGAUGUUAAUCGUUUCCCAAGAUAUCUAGUUUCUUAAGAAAAAAUUUAAUUUUUUAAAGUUAUUCGUUUUUAUUUAAUUUUUUAAGUAAAAAUAUUAACUUAUUUAUUCUUUAAGGGAUAAGCUUUGAAGUUAAUAACCUAUAAUUUAUUUUAUAGAAAUAUAAUAGUAAGCUUUAAACCAGCUAUCUUUAAGAUUACGUUUUAGUUCAUUAUUUUUUAUUUUGAUUUUAUAAAUAUUUUAGGUUUUUUAUUAAGAUUAUUAAUUUAAUUUUAAAAUUUUUGUAAUAAUGAUAGAAUUAGUAUAUUUAUUUGUAUGAAAUUUUUACCUUGUGAACUUAUUAUAAGGAACUAGGCAAAAUUGAUUUCCGCCUGUUUAUCAAAAACAUGUCCUCUUGUUUAUAUUUUGAGGUCUGGCCUGCUCACUGAGCGUAUUUUUAAAGAGCCGCGGUAUUUUGACCGUGCAAAGGUAGCAUAAUCAUUAGUCUCUUAUUUAGUGGCUGGAAUGAAUGGCUUGACGAGAAAUCAACUGUCUCUUAAUAAAUUUUUGAAUUUAACUUUUGAGUCAAAAGGCUUAAAUUCUUCUUUAGGACGAGAAGACCCUAUAGAGCUUGACAUUUUACUUUUAUAUAGUUUUUUGUUUGUCUUUCUAUAUUUAAUGAUGAUGUUUUGUUGGGGUGACAUGAAGAAUAGAUAAACUCUUCAUUAUUAUAUCAUUUAUUUAUGUUUGUUAUUUUGAUCCAUAAUUUAUGAUCAUAAGAUUAAGUUACCUUAGGGAUAACAGCGUAAUUGUUUUUGAGAGCUCAUAUCGACAAAGCAGAUUGCGACCUCGAUGUUGGAUUAAGAAAAAUUUUGGGUGCAGGAGCCCAAUGAUUAGGUCUGUUCGACCUUUAAAUUCUUACAUGAUCUGAGUUCAGACCGGCGUGAGCCAGGUCGGUUUCUAUCCUAAGAUUGUUAAUCCAUAUUAGUACGAUAGGACCAUAUGGUUAAAAUAUUUUCUGUUAUAUUGAUUAAUAUUAAUUUAUUUA